CCUACGGGCGGCAGCAGUGAGGAAUAUUGGUCAAUGGACGCAAGUCUGAACCAGCCAUGUCGCGUGCAGGAAGACGGCCCUAUGAGUUGUAAACUGCUUUUGUACGAGGGCAAACGCCGAUACGCGUAUCUCCCUGAAAGUAUCGCACGAAUAAGGAUCGGCUAAACCCGUGCCAGCAGCCGCGGUAAUACGGAGGAUUCAAGCGUUUUCCGGAUUUAUUGGGUUUAAAGGGUGCGUAGGCGGUCGGAUAAGUUAGGGGUUAAAUCCCGAGGCUCAACUUCGGAACUGCCACUGAUACUGUUGGGCUAGAGAGUAGGAGCGGUAGGCGGAAUGUAUGGUGUAGCGGUGAAAUGCUUAGAGAUCAUACAGAACACCGAUUGCGAAGGCAGCUUGCCAGGCUACGUCUGACGUUGAGGCACGAAAGCGUGGGGAGCGAACAGGAUUAGAUACCCGAGUAGUC
Molecule: ribosomal RNA, 460 nt
Filed under: uncultured bacterium
Lineage: Bacteria
Description: partial 16S ribosomal RNA
Rfam family: Bacterial small subunit ribosomal RNA
Source: RNAcentral